Molecule: ribosomal RNA, 554 nt
Filed under: uncultured bacterium
Lineage: Bacteria
Description: bacterial SSU rRNA
Rfam family: Bacterial small subunit ribosomal RNA
Source: RNAcentral
AAUAGAUACCCGGGUAGUCCACGCCGUAAACGAUGAGUGCUAAGUGUUAGGGGGUUUCCGCCCCUUAGUGCUGCAGCUAACGCAUUAAGCACUCCGCCUGGGGAGUACGGUCGCAAGACUGAAACUCAAAGGAAUUGACGGGGGCCCGCACAAGCGGUGGAGCAUGUGGUUUAAUUCGAAGCAACGCGAAGAACCUUACCAGGUCUUGACAUCCCAUUGACCACUAUGGAGACAUAGUUUUCCCUUCGGGGACAACGGUGACAGGUGGUGCAUGGUUGUCGUCAGCUCGUGUCGUGAGAUGUUGGGUUAAGUCCCGCAACGAGCGCAACCCUUGUUCUUAGUUGCCAUCAUUUAGUUGGGCACUCUAAGGAGACUGCCGGUGACAAACCGGAGGAAGGUGGGGAUGACGUCAAAUCAUCAUGCCCCUUAUGACCUGGGCUACACACGUGCUACAAUGGACGGUACAAACGGUUGCCAACCCGGCAGGGGGAGCUAAUCCGAUAAAACCGUUCUCAGUUCGGAUUGUAGGCUGCAACUCGCCUACAUGAAGGACC